Molecule: long non-coding RNA, 671 nt
Filed under: Sus scrofa (pig)
Lineage: Eukaryota; Metazoa; Chordata; Mammalia; Artiodactyla; Suidae
Description: lncRNA (ENSSSCG00025024753.1)
Source: RNAcentral
AUGAUAAGUUUAAGCCAAACAAGUAUCCCAGGACCAUGCCUGCCACUCCAGCUACUUCAGAACCACUGCAUGUGUCUGAUCUUUGUUAUCCACCUGCCUGGAAACAUGUCUCUGUGCUUAUUUAAGUUCCAUUUAUUGAGAAUCGACAUAAACCCCACCAGGAGUCUGUCUGGACGGAGGCAAAGAGAAGAGGUCCAGGAGAGUCCUCUCGAGCCUUUAUAAAUGAGAAGUGAAAGAAUCACUGCUUUAAAUCACAACAUACUCUGAAAUGUGUUUAAGUCAGAAAACAUGAACUUUUUUUUUACCGAAGACAUCACCGGAUUGCCAAAGAAACCAUUUUAGCAUGGAUGAAACUCAAUGAGUGACAAAAUCCUUAUCUCCUUUGGGCGGCCCUGUAUCCAACCUGCAUGUUUUCCAAAACACAGAUAAAAUGUGCUGUCCAUUUAUCUUUUAAGAGUACAUCAAGACUUCAGCAAGAAUCUGGCUUCAAGAAAAUCUGGAAUUUAGGACUUCGAGAGACAAGGGUCUCUAAUUCUGUAGCUGAAACUUGGUCAUUCUUCUAUUUGCUGAAUUUUUAUAUAUGGUGAUCUUGAAUUAAAUUCUGUAAUGAAAUAAGCCCCUUUUACUAGAGAAUAAGAAUAAAAACCAUCUCCCAACUUUUUCUACCUCCA